GCCCGGUUAGCUCAGUCGGUAGAGCAUUCGACUUUUACAAAGUUUCGUCUUCCAAAGGUGGCAUCGAAUUGUCGGGGGUUCGAGCCCCCCAUUGGGCG
Melampsora larici-populina 98AG31 is the source of this 98-nucleotide transfer RNA. It matches the Rfam family "tRNA". Rfam says of the family: Transfer RNA (tRNA) molecules are approximately 80 nucleotides in length. The record is from Rfam. Lineage: Eukaryota; Fungi; Basidiomycota; Pucciniomycetes; Pucciniales; Melampsoraceae.